Long non-coding RNA from Lepisosteus oculatus (spotted gar), 1800 nucleotides. The record is from Ensembl. NCBI's taxonomy places the organism in Eukaryota, Metazoa, Chordata, Actinopteri, Semionotiformes, Lepisosteidae.
UUCACCCCUCCUCGCGUCAGCGUUAAACACAUUCGCAGUGCUGGGACGGUACUCUUCCCUGAAAUUAGACAUUAAUGUAAACACGGUAUCUAUCCUCUGAGGCUUUCCCAUCCCUCAGUGGAGUUUCGAUUCUGCGAAACAGCAUCAGUAAACACGCCCUGUAGCUGUAAAAAACCCGGAUUCGGUCUCCGGCUCCAAGUCCCGAAGCUGAAGACCCGACUCGCCAUGUUGAAGAGAACUCUCGCGCACUUUCUCGUUGCCUUGGUGUGCACGGGCGCCUUCACCGCAGGUGGAGGAGGCAGAACUGCAGAUGCGGAGGCAGCCUCUCCAGCCGGGAGAGACAGAGAAGUGGAUGAAGCCAUCGCCUACAUUCUGCGGUCUCUGGGUGCCACGGAUUCCAAAACAGCUGAAGCCUACAGAGAAAGAGUUGAAGCCAUCGUCCGUGCUCUGCUGUCAUACAGUAAGCAGGAUGUAGAGAGGUGUUGGUUGACAGGCAGGCAGACAGGUAGACAGACAGAGAGACAGACAGGCAGACAGGCAGGCAGACAGGUAGACAGACAGAGAGACAGACAGGCAGACAGGCAGGCAGACAGGUAGACAGACAGAGAGACAGACAGGCAGACGGGCAGACAGACAGGUAGACAGAGAGACAGACAGGCAAACAGGCAGACAGGCAGACAGAGAGACAGACAGGUAGACAGGCUGACAGGCAGACAGACAGACAGGUAGACAGGUAGACAGAGAGACAGACAAGUAGACAGGCAGACAGGCAGGUAGACAGGGUUAUGCACGUGUGAACGGUGAGUAACUCAGACUCUUCACUCUGUCCUAUCAGACGUAAGACUUACCACAGCCAAUAACCAAAACUCUGGCACCUUUAUCAAUCUGUACUUUUAACAAGUAUAUAAAAAACUCAGUUGAGGAUUAAAUCAGACAUUGAGUGAUUCUAGACACAAUGGCAAUGAACCAAAGGAAAUGUCUGAAAUCAGACAUUCCUCUUUGUCAGAAGACUGCCAGUAGUAUGACGCUACUUUUAUUUUGUAUUCUCUUGUUUUACUCACUCAAAAUAUUAAGCUCUUUCUGUCAUUGACCAAGAUGGCAAGAAUUUGGUCCUCUGCUGUGGACUUUCUCUGAGGCUCCAGUAGCCAUCUGAGGGUGUGAGAGUCACAGCUGCAUGCUGAAUUCCUGUCUGUGGCAAAAUUUCAGCCACAUCUCUCAACCACAGCUACGCUGCUCACUGGGUUCACGGUGUUCAUGUCAUUGUUGUUGCUGCCUCAGUCCUGGCUGUGUUGAAUGUGCUGCAACCCCUGAGUCUUCUUCCCAUGGUAUAUACGUGCCUUUCAUUUCUUAUCUCUGAAAUUUCACAUUAAUUUCUAUCAAAUUAUAUUUUGCUAUGCAUUGCCCUAUUUCUUGACUAAAAUUGUUUAGUCUCAUUCACAACAUGUUACCACCAUCUCCUUACAAAGACAUUCAAACAGACUCUCAGCAAACUAAGGCAUACACACGACAGCACAGAAUCAUCCAAAUGAGACUGGCCUCAAUGCUGACUUGCCUGUAUAUUAAGUGUACUCGUUUUAGUUUCUUACGUACCUAUUUCUACAUAUCACCAUGUUUGCAUCCCACACAGUUAUAGCCAAUGGCUUGAGGAAUAAGUAAGGCAGUACAAAUACCCCAGUAAAAUUACAGCUCUGCACGUGUUGGCUGUUUUAGUGACUGUGUGCCCAGCAUGUUCUGCUUUUAAAUUUUGAAAAACAGUGGAGUACAGGAUAGUGCCUCUGCUUCAUAAUUCUAUGGGUCUAG